GAGCACCUACGGGAGGCAGCAGUGAGGAAUAUUGGUCAAUGGGCGCGAGCCUGAACCAGCCAAGUCGCGUGAGGGAAGACGGUCCUAUGGAUUGUAAACCUCUUUUGUCGGGGAGCAAAAGACGCCACGCGUGGCGUUCCGAGAGUACCCGAAGAAAAAGCAUCGGCUAACUCCGUGCCAGCAGCCGCAGUAAUACGGAGGAUGCGAGCGUUAUCCUGAUUUAUUGGGGUUAAAGGGUGCGCAGGCGGAAGAUUAAGUCAGCGGUAAAGUUGAGAGGCGCAACCUCUUCGAGCCG
RNAcentral lists this ribosomal RNA (295 nucleotides) under uncultured bacterium. Its description in RNAcentral is "partial 16S ribosomal RNA". It matches the Rfam family "Bacterial small subunit ribosomal RNA", at positions 333 to 626 of the family's 1533-position model. The record is from RNAcentral.